AAAAGAAUAAUAUCUCAAUCAUUAAGCACCCUCUCUGACUGCAUAAAGUUGAAUUCCUUUCAAGUAUCCAAAGGAGUGUUGGAAACUGGAAGGACAUGGGUUUCAUUUCCUCAGGUGCCCUGACAUGGAAAAAAUUUCAUGGAAGAAGUGUCCUACAAAUCAUAGCAUUUUAAAGUUUUUCCCCACUUACUGACAGGUGGAUGCUUUAACAACUAAGCGGGGGAAAGAAGGAGGAUGGGUUGUUGAACGGCUAUUGAACCAGUUACUUAUAGAGUUAGAUGGUGCUGAGCAGCGGCGGGGUGUAUUUGUUAUUGGUGCCACUAAUAGACCCGACGUCAUGGACCGUGCUGUUUUGCGGCCCGGAAGGUUUGGUAAACUUAUCUAUGUCGCCCCACCCACUAAAGAUGAGCGUGGUUUAAUAUUAAAAGCUCUUGCGAGGAAGAAGCCUAUAGAUGC
Prunus mume (Japanese apricot) is the source of this 456-nucleotide non-coding RNA. The record is from RefSeq and is a predicted model, not a curated record. Lineage: Eukaryota; Viridiplantae; Streptophyta; Magnoliopsida; Rosales; Rosaceae.